Molecule: long non-coding RNA, 2162 nt
Organism: Oncorhynchus gorbuscha (pink salmon)
Lineage: Eukaryota; Metazoa; Chordata; Actinopteri; Salmoniformes; Salmonidae
Exons: 5
Source: RefSeq, a predicted model, not a curated record
ACUGGCAGACAUAAUAUGUCGAGGCAACCACCUGUGGUUUUGGGUUCUCUGAACAUUCAGAGGUCCUGCCGCCCGAAAAAAACAUCACCCCCGCGCUGUAAAAUCAUUACAGAACAUCUCUCCUUUGAGGCAAGACUGCGGAGCGAGGGCUAGUUAAACAUACUAUCCCCUCUGUACGAACGGCCAACAGCCCAGAACAGCUCAAAGAUCAUCAGCGAAUCCGUCCAAAUGGAGCUUUCUGAAGUUGCUCAGGGGAAUAAAUUAUCUGGAACAGCCUUCGUUAGAAGGGGGUUCAGAGGAGCAAAACGCGUGCAGCCAGUCCCCAUCACAUUAUUGUAGACCUGACAUACCACCAAGAAGGAUAACUGCCUCCUUAUGGACCCUGAACGACUUCCGAUGAUAAUUAUAUAUAUACUCCAACGAGACAUGCCCAGCAGAAUCUGGAAUACCUGGUGAAAGAGCCCCCGGUUUCCGCGAUCCGUCAGAACAGCCAUCGUCAAAAAAGCUGAGACUCCUCCCCGGCGUAUAACGGCACAGAAGACCUCACACACCUCGAGCACGCAGAGGAUUUCGGCUCACCAGACGUUCACAAUGAAACAACGAAACCAGAGGAUUUCAUCGUUUUAAAAGACAUUUCAGAGGUAGACGACCUGCUAUUAUGGGAGGCGGCCAACCUUCUUGAUUCAGCCAAUUCUUUGGUGGAAACACCCGAACCUGAAAUAGAACAAGCUAGGUUUUUCACAGCCUUUUCCAGGACUCUAAAAUCCCGAAAGGUUUUGCUCCACAAACGAAUGGGGGCUUUACUCGAGCAACAAUAACAUAUUAUCCCCAAUACCCCCGAACUCAUAGAAAUAAUUAACUGUAUGAAUGAGUCAGAGACGACUGAUGAAAAACUGUUAUGAGAGCUUCAGGAAUCUGGGAUAUCGUCAAUUAAACAGAUGAAUGAGAGCAUAAGAUCUUCUACACCGGACCCACACAGACCCCGCCAUUAACGCCCAUGUCCAAAAGAGUCUGAAACGCAAUACAAUGUUUUUGAGAAAUUGGAAAAUUGUCUAAUAAAUCAGGAGGGAGAUGCUAUUGAUAGAAGUGUCCGGGUUGUGUACCGAAAUAAAUUCAGCAAUACAGAGAUUCGACAAUUUUUCAAUUUUACAUGGGUGAAUCAGAAUCUUGACUAUGCAGUGUUUUAUGUGAUGAUACUGCAGUGUUUUAUGUGAUGAUACUGGAUACUCUGAACGCACUGUUAGACAGGGCAAGAGAUUAUGGCAAACCUCGUGAUGUCUUACAGUUGGAAAUUUGUGGAGAUAGCCUGCAUAACACGGUAUCUCUUAUUUUACCCAAUGGCGAAGCAGACCGUGAACAAUUUAUAUCCCUGCUGGAACGACUUGUUCAGUCAAAUGUAUCCGUCAUAGCCGAUAGGACCCUCGAGCUUGUAGUGCAAAUAAUACGGCAACCCCUGGGUGGUCAGAGAAGGAAACUAGAUAGCCUAAUGCAAUCAGAAAUCAUAAGCAAUAAAAGGGCGUAUCUCAUAAACGUUCACAAUCCUGGUAAAAAGCUAUGCUUUGCAAUAGGCCUAGCACAUUUACUCAACCCUGGGUGUACAGAUCUAGCGCCGUUACACAAGGCUAGAGAGCUCCAAACGGCCGUGGGUCUAGGUAUACAGGAUGCGGUGGCUUUCUCAGACAGUCAAGUUUGAAAACCUGAACAUCAAGAUUGUGGUUUUGUACCACAGUAGAGCUAAUGCAGCUCUCUUGAAAUUCCAAAACAACCCCCAACCUCAUCCUCAGAUUCUGUACUUUUAUGUGCAAAACGUCCACUAUUAUGCUAUUACUAACAUCACAGCGUUUUUAGGCGCCAUACCGGCUACGCCCGAAAGGGGGGGCACUCGUGCCGUUAAAGCUGUUCAGUAUGUCUGGAUGAAAAUUGUCCGAUGCAGCCCUUAAACCUGACCUUGUGAGGAUUGUCGCCGCAAAUGUCGUAGGGCCUACUGUUACGAAAAACACAAAAUUGAAACAUGGCACCCCAAGGCCUGUAAAUCUGUAAGCAGUUGUGACAUUAACUUCUUAUGGCUGCAGGGCAGUAUUGAGUAGCUUGGAUGAAAGGUGCCCAGAGUAAACUGCCUGCUCCUCAGUCCCAGUUGCUAAUAUAUGCUUAUUAUUAUUAGU